This is a long non-coding RNA of Parasteatoda tepidariorum (common house spider), 1071 nucleotides long. RefSeq lists it as uncharacterized. Lineage: Eukaryota; Metazoa; Arthropoda; Arachnida; Araneae; Theridiidae. The record is from RefSeq and is a predicted model, not a curated record.
UCUGGCAAACAUCCCUGAUGAUGAUCCGAGAACAUGCCAUCACAAUUUUGAUCCUAUGCAGAAGGGAUCUCAACAGUGAGGCCACUUCCUCAAUUUAGACAUAGAUCUGAUGGGGAAGGAAAUUUUCUCCAGAUUCCUGUUCCCAUGUUACUGCUCAGCAACCGAUCAUAGGACUUUCGAUUGCACAGAUUUUACGAACACGUAUAUCGCAUAUAUUCGGUGAGUCUUAGCGGAGUCGAGAUCGAACUCUUGCGCCUCAGGAUUGGAGUCCGAUUCUCUAACGAUUGGGCUACCACUGCCUUCCAGUUCCUUUUACCUACUGUAACUACUAUUACCUCCACCCACUACUACUACUUCUUCUACCAUUGUCUUAUGAUCUGAACUAUCGUGUUUUUACUUUUGACGUUGUAUUAUCAGUUUGUUUGAUUUUAAAAUCUUUAAUAUAAUGGAAGUCAAUAUCAAUCUAAAAGAUAACAUAUGGCUAAAUGUGAACAAGAACAUAAUGGCUUUCGUAUUUGUGCCCACGUUUUUAAUAUAUUCCUUUGGAAUUCACCACGUUCUUACUCUCAGACAAGCCAACUGUGCGACAGCAUCUUUCAUUGUGGGAGACAUCUUGUAGAAUAGAGGGGAUCCUGGAGCACUUCUUAGAACUGUACUGGCAUCCAUCUGCUUAUUUCUGCAGUACAGUGACAGCAGCAACUGUGUGGCUUUGAAUAGUUUUUUCAUUCUAUUCUUCAUGAUGUACGUCAAUGGAUUCGUGUACUACAUCGGUUUCAUGAGCUGUGGUACAUUAUUUUAUGCAUUAUCACCUUAUGUUAGAAUACCAAAUGAUAUUAACCUUCGAUCUAUUUCAGAAUUUAUGUAUAGAUUAUGCUGCUGUUUGUUUUGUUUCUAUCUCUCAUUAUUCUUCAUCGUGAAAACUGUAUUAGUGCUGCUUAUUCAAUACUUUAUUGGUAUAUUUAGGGAGUUUUUUAGAAUCAUCUUUUAAAAAUGCUUUAGAAUCGCUGUGCAUGGCUAAUAGAUGAUGCAAGUAUGUUGUACAAAGAUUUCCAAAUAAAUCACUUAUUUUUU